CCUACGGGAGGCUGCAGUGGGGGAUAUUGCACAAUGGGGGGAACCCUGAUGCAGCGACGCCGCGUGGGUGAAGAAGCGCCUCGGCGCGUAAAGCCCUGUCAGCAGGGAAGAAAAUGACGGUACCUGACGAAGAAGCCCCGGCUAACUACGUGCCAGCAGCCGCGGUAAUACGUAGGGGGCAAGCGUUAUCCGGAUUUACUGGGUGUAAAGGGGGCGCAGACGGCGAUGCAAGACAGGAGUGAAAGCCCGGGGCCCAACCCCGGGACUGCUCUUGGAACUGCGUGGCUGGAUUGCAGGAGGGGCAGGUGGAAUUCCUGGUGUAGGGGUGAAAUGCGUAGAUAGCAGGAGGAACACCGGUGGCGAAGGCGGCCUGCUGGACUGCAACUGACGUUGAGGCCCGAAAGCGUGGGGAGCAAACAGGAUUAGAUACCCCGGUAGUC
RNAcentral lists this ribosomal RNA (440 nucleotides) under uncultured bacterium. RNAcentral's name for it is "partial 16S ribosomal RNA". It matches the Rfam family "Bacterial small subunit ribosomal RNA", at positions 338 to 795 of the family's 1533-position model. The record is from RNAcentral.